GAAAGGAAACCAACAGGGAUUGCCCCAGUAACGGCGAGUGAAGCGGCAAGAGCUCAAAUUUGAAAGCUGGCUCCUUCGGGGUCCGCAUUGUAAUUUGUAGAGGAUGCUUCGGGAGCGGUCCCCAUCUAAGUGCCCUGGAACGGGACGUCAUAGAGGGUGAGAAUCCCGUAUGGGAUGGGGUGUCCGCGCCCGUGUGAAGCUCCUUCGACGAGUCGAGUUGUUUGGGAAUGCAGCUCUAAAUGGGUGGUAAAUUUCAUCUAAAGCUAAAUAUUGGCCGGAGACCGAUAGCGCACAAGUAGAGUGAUCGAAAGAUGAAAAGCACUUUGAAAAGAGAGUUAAAAAGCACGUGAAAUUGUUGAAAGGGAAGCGCUUGCGACCAGACUCGCUCGCGGGGUUCAGCCGGCAUUCGUGCCGGUGUACUUCCCCGCGGGCGGGCCAGCGUCGGUUUGGGCGGUCGGUCAAAGGCCCUCGGAAGGUAACGCCCCUAGGGGCGUCUUAUAGCCGAGGGUGC
Molecule: ribosomal RNA, 511 nt
Filed under: Penicillium sp.
Lineage: Eukaryota; Fungi; Ascomycota; Eurotiomycetes; Eurotiales; Aspergillaceae
Description: partial large subunit ribosomal RNA
Rfam family: Eukaryotic large subunit ribosomal RNA
Source: RNAcentral